This is a long non-coding RNA of Zea mays, 1365 nucleotides long. RefSeq lists it as uncharacterized. NCBI's taxonomy places the organism in Eukaryota, Viridiplantae, Streptophyta, Magnoliopsida, Poales, Poaceae. The transcript is spliced from 3 exons. The record is from RefSeq and is marked validated.
CUCUGGCCGCGCGCGAGCUCCUCUGCUGAACGCUGCUGUUCGGCUCCCUGCUGCGUCUCCCUGCCAUGGCAUGCCCAGGCUCCAGCUCGCCCUGCGCUAAGAUUCCGUCUCCCUCUACGCAUCUCUCUCUGGUCGCUCGCUCUCAGUGGAGCUCGGUCUCCAUCUGCGUGCAGCCGUCGAGCUCCCCUGCUCGCUGGUCGCCCUUCCCUCUAUCCGCUUGCGCGCAGCCGCGUCCCUGCUCUGCUCGUCGGGCGCGCAGGUCCUUGCUGGUGCUCAGCUCCAGUCGACCGCGCGCGCUGCUCCCUGCACUCGCCUGGCGUUCGCCCCUGCCUUCCCAUGGCCGGAACUCCCAGCGCCGCGGCUACCUUUCUCUGGUGCUUGGCUAGCUCGCCGUCGGGCUGGCUCAAGCCCCAUCGCGGCACUCCAGCUCGCCUAGUCUCCGCGCCGCGACACUCCCUCUGGUCCGCGCUUCCUUCAGCUCGGCCAUGGCGAGUCCCUCCCGUCUCUGUUCUUUCCCUGCUUGCGUCGUGAUCUCCCAGCUCCUCAAUACUUGUUCAGUCGUCUCGGUUCGCUCGGCCUCAAAUUCCAGCGCCUCGCCGCCUCGCCCUACUCUCGUGGUUCGGCGACAGCCGGCGCGAGCCUGGCCGUGGCGGUGUUGUGGUGUGGGGACGUCGUGCGCGUCGCGACAGCUGUCUUGGCCGCGAAGCAGUCCGCGCCAUAGAAUUCGCCCGACCGCGACAUUGCUUUACUUCUCGCGUCGUUGCUCGCCAAGUCCUUUCUCAGUCCGCGCCAUAAAAUUCACUUGGACACGAUCUCGUCGUCGUUCCGCGUGUCGUCAAGAAAUCCCAAGAAUCGGGUGAAGACGGAGUUAGCAGCGCGAUAUUCCCCAAGCGCUCGACAAAUUGCCUGGAUCGGAAAAUCGCUACCGAUCUCGCGGAUUCGUGUCAGCUGUGGAAACGGUACGUGAAUUAACCACGCGAUGCGGAGAACCAGAACUGAGUCGACCAUAAGAUGGUGCUGAUGAACGGAACUGGAGAUGGACAGACGAUGCAAGUAUCGGGACAAAGGAUGGUCGUCAAGUGAUCGACGUCUAACAAACACUAACCUAGUGUUUAUUCCAGGUUAUAGUUUUUGUGCUGCUGUUGAUGGUGUUAAGUGCCGGUGGGCUCGGCCUUCUUAUAUAAGUAUACCCCGCCUUUAUCUUCUUAUUGAGGAUGGUCACUUGAGCUAGCAUAUAUUUCAAAACUAUAAAUAAUUUAUAACCGUUCAAAGUUUCUUUCUUUGAAUCAAUGUAGUAAUCACUCUGAUCAUGUACGAAGUAAAAUUUUUGUAACUUGUAAAAUUUGGUAAUAAGAUUUCCGCUGC